Molecule: ribosomal RNA, 343 nt
Filed under: uncultured bacterium
Lineage: Bacteria
Description: bacterial SSU rRNA
Rfam family: Bacterial small subunit ribosomal RNA
Source: RNAcentral
GACGAACGCUGGCGGCGUGCUUAACACAUGCAAGUCGAGCGGUAAGGCCCUUUCGGGGGUACACGAGCGGCGAACGGGUGAGUAACACGUGGGUGACCUGCCCUCAGCUCUGGGAUAAGCCCGGGAAACUGGGUCUAAUACCGGAUAUGACUCCAUGACGCAUGUUGUGGGGCGGAAAGCCUUGUGCGGCUGAGGAUGGGCCCGCGGCCUAUCAGCUUGUUGGUGGGGUGAUGGCCUACCAAGGCGACGACGGGUAGCCGGCCUGAGAGGGCGACCGGCCACACUGGGACUGAGACACGGCCCAGACUCCUACGGGAGGCAGCAGUGGGGAAUCUUGCGCAAU